RNAcentral lists this ribosomal RNA (238 nucleotides) under uncultured bacterium. Its description in RNAcentral is "partial 16S ribosomal RNA". It matches the Rfam family "Bacterial small subunit ribosomal RNA", at positions 15 to 245 of the family's 1533-position model. The record is from RNAcentral.
GAUCAUGGCUCAGGAUGAACGCUAGCUACAGGCUUAACACAUGCAAGUCGAGGGGCAGCAUGAACUUAGCUUGCUAAGUUUGAUGGCGACCGGCGCACGGGUGAGUAACACGUAUCCAACCUGCCGAUGACUCGGGGAUAGCCUUUCGAAAGAAAGAUUAAUACCCUAUGGCAUAGUUCUUCCGCAUGGUGGAACUAUUAAAGAAUUUCGGUUAUCGAUUGGGAUGCGUUCCAUUAGG